This is a long non-coding RNA of Leopardus geoffroyi (Geoffroy's cat), 2864 nucleotides long. RefSeq lists it as uncharacterized. The record is from RefSeq and is a predicted model, not a curated record. Lineage: Eukaryota; Metazoa; Chordata; Mammalia; Carnivora; Felidae. The transcript is spliced from 3 exons.
CCCGACGCGGGGCCCGAACCCACCAACCACGAGAUCAUGACCCGAGCCAAAGUCGGACACCGGGCCAACUGAGCCAUCCAGGCACCCCUGGGCUCUGCUGUUUUAAUGCAAAGGCCGCCAAUGUAAUAUGUAGGCCAUGAGAUGAGCUUCUAGAGGACAGGUCCCUCCAGAAUUCUGAUCUCCAGGCCCAAGGGAGGGAGACCCUCAUGGGGUCAGGGCUGCUGACGAGUGAAGGGAACAGGACUCGGUGGCCUGGUCAAAGAUGCUGACGGGGGGACGGGCUUGGAACACGCAAGUUCUGGGAGGUUAGUCUGCUCGCAGCUGGAUGGGAGGGGGACAUGAUACAUGGGUUUUCAGGGUGAUGCUAGGGAAGGGAGGCUUGGUGUAGUUCAACAGUAGGGAGCCUUGGGGGGUUCUUGAGCAGAAGAGUGGCUUAAUAGUAUUACUAUUUGGGGCAAGGGCCCUUCCUGGCUUUCGAGGCAUUCCUUGGAGUGUCCAGAUGAAAGUCCUGAACAAGCCAUUGGAAAGCCCACGUUCAAGUUCGGGUUCUGCCUUUCAACUUCCUGCGAGGGCCUUUUCCUCCUGGGGCCUCACCUUCCACAUCUGUCAAAUGGGAGCAAAUGACCCUUGCAGUGGGGGCCUCCUGGGUUUGCUCUAAAGGGCCAAAUAAAGCCUUGUGUCAAAGGACAUGUGAAGAGCAGAGAGGCAGGCUUGAAGGAUGAUGCUGACGGCACAGAAGUCUCGUUAGUGGGUAUUAAUAUGUGCUAGGCACCGCGGGGGUGGUGAAGGCCAGGAGGGGGAGGGCACAGGCUUGCAGAGAGCUGGCCUGUUUCCGUGUCCCCGGCCCCUGGCGCAACUUGGGCACCCUAGGUGUGAGGCACUGGCAUGAAGGGUGCAGAGGCCUGAAGCGGGGUGUGGAUGGGAACAGCUUGGAUCUCUGCGAGGUUGUUCUGAAGGAACCACAGCAAACCGUGGCAUCGUCCGCACGUGCCGUGCCCCCUGUUCUCUAGGAACUGGACAUCGAGCUCCCUGUGGCAGAUAACAUUUGGGCCUGAAUCCGAGCCGGAAGGCCCCCUCGUUUUACAAAUGGGGAAACUGAGGCCAGCAAGUGUCAGGGAUGGGCUCAGGGGCUCUCAGGCAGCCAGAGGCAGGCCGGUCCUGGCCCAGGCUGGGGCUCCACUGGAUUCUUCCCCAAGGGUCCCACCCAGACACUCUCCUGCAGCAUCAGAGAGUCCCGGCCACCAUGCCCUGUCCCUGGGAGACACAGAUGCCAGGACGUGCGGGGAGUUGGUGCCGCUAAUUAGUCACAUCAUUCUUGGCAUCUCACACAGCCUCGGGGAACUGGAGAAUGUCAUUGUCAAAGUAUUUUUGAAUAUUUGCCUUCUCAGCAAGUAGAUACUGUGAGAACACUCUGUCUUCCAUUCGGGCGGAUACUAACAGAAAUAACAAGCACCGUGAGCUAGAAGGAUCUGGGAGCUCGGGAGACAGGCCCGGAGGAAUCCCUGGUGCCGCCAGCCACGGCUGCAACACUCUGCCCUCUGGGCCUCGUGUCCUACCCUAAACUGGCUCAUUCACUCUUCAGAUAUUUAUGGAAGCCUGGUGUGUGCCCUGUACUUCUCUGGGCUCUGGAGGAACAACUGUGAACAAAACAGACAGGAAUCCCUGCCCUCAAGGGGCUGCCGUCCUAAGAGGGAGUCAGACAGUACAAAUCAAUAAGGGCCUGACGACCACAAAGCUAGCUUCUGCCUCUGUGGAUUUGCCUACUCUGGACAUUUCGCGGAAGUGGAGCCAGACCCCGUGUGACCUUGUGGGGCCGGUUCCAUUCCUGCGGCAUCGCAUCAAGGUCAUCCAUGAUGCAGCCUGUGUCGGGCGUGGUUCGUUUCUUGUCAGGACUCGGUCCCCCAUUCUUGGCCGGUUCUGAGUUGGACAGUCCCCACCCUGCUUCAUCAGGUGGCCUUGAGGAUGGUUAAGUGGGAUAGGAAAAAGCAGGUCCCCACGCCGCAGCGCAGAGUCGGGGCAUGGGCAGGAGCCGUAAAAGGGGCUCGUGGGUGCUUUUAGGGGGGGGUGUGGCAGUCGGCUUCGCCGUCAGCCAGCCUUCCUCCCGGGCGGGGGUCGGUGACCACGCGGCCAUCUGGGCUUCCGGGGUUUGCUGCCGUUGUCUGUCCUUCCGCUGUCUCUGUCUGUUCUGGUUCUGUGGGCCCCGGGCGGGACUGAGGGUAAAUGGAUAGGCUCUACCACCAUCUUUCCUUUCCUUCUAAGAACUUCUGAGGUUUCCGAAGCAACCCUUUGGGACGGGCCUCAUGCCCUCCUCGGAGGGGAAGUAGGGGCAGGGAGGCCUCCCAGAGGAGAGGGCCGUGGCCAGGUGACCGAGUGGGGCUGGCCUCAGUCUGUGCUCAGAAAAUGCGGGGCAUUUGGUGAAAGGGCUCUGAUGUCCCUCACUUUGCCCCCCAUCCCCUUCAAAGGACGCCUCCCUCCCGGGACACCCAUCCAGAAGCCACCUGCACUGAGGCCCACCAUGUGCCAGGCCAGCAGGGGAAGAUGCCAGUGAGCUAGCCAUGACGGCAGCAAGAGAGGAAGGACAGUGACUCUGGGGGUGGCCCCUCGGGUCACGACAGCCCUUCUCACGCCAGUGGCCACAGCGGCUCAGCGGGCCUUGCCUCCACCUGCGUCUCCCCCAGCAGCACCCCCGCUGGCGCCAUAAGGGGGACACAGGUGUACUGUCCCCGAGGCCAGCCACCGGCCAGGGACUGAAGCACACCCUGAGCAGGACAGACCUGGGCAGACAGACAGCUGGCCCCUGUGCUAGGGUGGAGUCUAGUGAGGGAGUGUUAAGGGGACAAAGAGGGCUGUAACUGUCAUGGAGA